CGGCAAUCUGGUUGUUUCUGUCUCUAGUGACAGUGUUAACAAACUCAGACUUCAAAUCAGAUUUAUUUAAUUACAGCGUUUACUUCUGAUUACAUGUAUUCUUAGUUAUCUUCUUCCUUUCAUCUUGUUCACUUCAGGAGGAGACAUGCAGGCAUUUCUGAAAGGACCUUCAACACAGAAGCGCAGAAAUCGUCCUCCUCGUCUUGAGAGAAGCCGUGAGCUAUGCUCUGGUUGGAGAAAUAGUGAGACUUCAUCAUCAUAUCUGCGUAUAUGUGUUAUAGGACUGGGCGAUAGGACGAUGUAAUCAGAUAUCAAUGAUGUCUUACAAAGAUCCCAUUGCCGAUUGCAAACAGAUGAUUCUGUUGAUCCUGAAGACAUGAAUUCAACCUCUCAAUGUCUUCAUGCUUUGGACACUGUGUUUCAUGGAGCCUUGAAAUUCAUAGCAAAUUUAAAAUCUCGCACUCAUCACUGUUUACUGUAUUCUCGGGUAGGAUGGUUGUCCCUCUCUAUUCUGCGUUGGAUGCACUGGCAUCUUUUCAUUUGCAGUAUUAGGACUCCUUCCUCCUUAUCUGAAAACGUACAUUAUUCCAAGGUCUGCAGGGACAUAUUACCUGCGCUCACAAAAUUUGUUUUUAUUGGCAGUCCCUAAAGCCUGUACUGUUUUUGGAAAAAAGGCUUUUAGUAUUGCAGCACCAUCAGCAUGGAAUCAGAUACAAAAUGAGCUACAGUUGAAGGAGUUGAGGUGGAUGAGUGUCUGGCUGAUGUGUGUCUUCAGGAGGUGGAUGAGUGUCUGGCAGAUGUUUGUGUGUCUUCGGGAGUUGGAUGAGUGUCUGGCAGAUGUUCGUGUGGUUUGUGUGUCUUCAGGAGGUGGUUUAGUGUCUGGCAGAUGUUCGUGUGGUUUGUGUGUCUUCAGGAGGUGGAUGAGUGUCUGGCAGAUGUUCGUGUGUCUUUGGGAGGUGGAUGAGUGUCUGGCAGAUGUUUGUGUUAUUUGUGUGUCUUCGGGAGGUGGAUGAGUGUCUGGCAGAUGUUUGUGUUGUUUGUGUGUCUUCGGGAGGUGGAUGAGUGUCUGGCAGAUGUUUGUGUGUCUUCGGGAGGUGGAUGAGUGUCUGGCAGAUGUUCGUGUGUCUUCGGGAGGUGGAUGAGUGUCUGGCAGAUGUUUGUGUUGUUUGUGUGUCUUCGGGAGGUGGAUGAGUGUCUAGCAGAUGUUCGUGUGGUUUGUGUGUCUUCAGGAGGUGGAUGAGUGUCUGGCAGAUGUUUGUGUGUCUUCGGGAGGUGGAUGAGUGUCUGGCAGAUGUUCAUGUGGUUUGUGUGUCUUCGGGAGGUGGAUGAGUGUCUGGCAGAUGUUUGUGUGGUUUGUGUGUCUUCGGGAGGUGGAUGAGUGUCUGGCAGAUGUUCGUGUGGUUUGUGUGUCUUUAGGA
Long non-coding RNA from Xyrauchen texanus (razorback sucker), 1418 nucleotides. RefSeq lists it as uncharacterized. The record is from RefSeq and is a predicted model, not a curated record. The transcript has 3 exons. Lineage: Eukaryota; Metazoa; Chordata; Actinopteri; Cypriniformes; Catostomidae.